CAGAUUUUAGUGUUUGUAGGAUUUAUUUUUUUGUUUUUAAAGUGUCAAACGAACACUCUUCAACAUGAGCUCAGCAUGAGAGGAAGAUGAGGUGGAACCGUGGAGAACGUUUCCCACACAAGGCCACUGAGGCGACUCCAUGUGAGGAAGYGUUCACAGAGGAGCAUCCAGGGGUCCAGCGAGGGUGUCGUCGCUGCAGACUCUGCAGGCCACCUGCUGUAAUGACUUCACUGUGACCAGGAUCAAAGGGAGGCAGCUUCUCCCGGAGCCUCAAACUCCUCCAGCUUGUUUCUAAACUCAGCAGUCGUUGUGGGAUUUUAAGUGAUGCUUUAAAAGCAGUGAAGGUUUCUCCACGGCGGUGAGCAGGUGCUGCAGUUCUCAGCUGAACGUCUUUCAGCUACUCUCAGCUUCCAGGCUCUGUGUUUGUUCUUUCUCAGGAGAUAGUUUUAGAGACGAGU
Molecule: long non-coding RNA, 458 nt
Organism: Austrofundulus limnaeus
Lineage: Eukaryota; Metazoa; Chordata; Actinopteri; Cyprinodontiformes; Rivulidae
Exons: 3
Source: RefSeq, a predicted model, not a curated record